RNAcentral lists this ribosomal RNA (459 nucleotides) under uncultured bacterium. RNAcentral describes it as "partial 16S ribosomal RNA". It matches the Rfam family "Bacterial small subunit ribosomal RNA", at positions 338 to 795 of the family's 1533-position model. The record is from RNAcentral.
CCUACGGGAGGCAGCAGUGAGGAAUAUUGGUCAAUGGGCGGAAGCCUGAACCAGCCAAGUAGCGUGCGGGAUGAAGGCCCUACGGGUCGUAAACCGCUUUUGCACGGGGAUAACACCCUCCACUUGUGGAGGUCUGCAGGUACCGUGCGAAUAAGGGCCGGCUAAUCCCGGGCCAGCAGCCCCGGAAAAACGGAGGGCCCGGCGGUUUUCCGGAUUUAUUGGGCUAAAAGGGGGCGUAGGCGGGCGUUCAAGUCAGCGGGAAAAUGGGGCGGCUCAACCGCGCCCCGCAGUUGAAACUGGACGCCUUGAGUGCACAACAGGCAGGCGGAAUGCGUGGUGUAGCGGUGAAAUGCAUAGAUAUCACGAGGAACCCCGAUUGCGAAGGCAGCCUGCCGGGGUGCGACUGACGCUGAGGCUCGAAGGUGCGGGUAUCAAACAGGAUUAGAUACCCUGGUAGUC